This 253-nucleotide ribosomal RNA is filed under the name uncultured bacterium. RNAcentral's name for it is "partial 16S ribosomal RNA". It matches the Rfam family "Bacterial small subunit ribosomal RNA", at positions 524 to 776 of the family's 1533-position model. The record is from RNAcentral.
CACGUAGGGCGCAAGCGUUGUCCGGAAUUAUUGGGCGUAAAGAGCUCGUAGGCGGUCUGUCACGUCGGCUGUGAAAACUUGGGGCUCAACCCCAAGCCUGCAGUCGAUACGGGCAGACUAGAGUCCGGCAGGGGAGACUGGAAUUCCUGGUGUAGCGGUGAAAUGCGCAGAUAUCAGGAGGAACACCGGUGGCGAAGGCGGGUCUCUGGGCCGGAACUGACGCUGAGGAGCGAAAGCGUGGGGAGCGAACAGG